CAAGCGCGUAUAUUAAAGUUGUUGCGGUUAAAAAACUCGUAGUUGGAUUUCAGUCUAGGAAGGUUAACUCGCCGAAAAGUUGUACGUUGAUUUUCCUCAGACUUCGUCAGAAGCUCGUGCUGCACUUAACUGUAUGGUACGAUGUUCUGACCUUAUAUUUUCAAGAAAGUAGAGUUUUUCAGGCAGGCUACCCAGCUUGAACACAUUCGCAUGGAAUGAUGAAAUGGAUUUCGGUUCGAUUUCGUUGGUUCUAGAGCUGAAGUGAUGAUCAAUAUGAACAGGCGAAGGUAUAAGUACUUGAGAGUGAGGAAUGAAAUCCGAUGAUCUCUUCAAGACGAUCCGAGGCGAAAUCAUUUGUCGAGGAUGUUUUCAUUGAA
This 377-nucleotide ribosomal RNA is filed under the name uncultured eukaryote. RNAcentral's name for it is "partial 18S ribosomal RNA". It matches the Rfam family "Eukaryotic small subunit ribosomal RNA", at positions 592 to 977 of the family's 1831-position model. The record is from RNAcentral.